KSCCUUAGAGUUUGAUCCUGGYUCMKAACGAACGCUGGCGGCGWGCUUAACACAUGCAAGUCGAACGUGAUUGASAGCUUGCUCUCAUGAAAGUGGCSCACGGGUGAGUAACACSUGGAUAAUCUGCCUGGCGAUUCGGGAUAACACUKCGAAAGGGGUGCUAAUACCGGAUAAGCCUACGGACUCCUCGGAGUUUGCAGGAAAAGAUGGCCUCUAUUUAUAAGCUAUCGUAUCAGGAUGAGUCCSCGUACCAUUAGCUAGUUGGUGGGGUAAUGGCCUACCAAGGCUACSAUGGUUAGCUGGUCUGAGAGGAUGAUCAGCCACACUGGAACUGAGACACGGUCCAGACUCCUACGGGAGGCAGCAGUGGGGAAUUUUGCGCAAUGGGGGAAACCCUGACGCAGCAACGCCGCGUGAGUGAUGAAGGCUUUCGGGUCGUAAAGCUCUGUCAGAGGGGAAGAAAUGGAACGUGCUAAUAUCACGUUUUCUUGACGGUACCCUCAAAGGAAGCACCGGCUAACUCCGUGCCAGCAGCCGCGGUAAUAC
This 546-nucleotide ribosomal RNA is filed under the name uncultured Geobacteraceae bacterium. Its description in RNAcentral is "bacterial SSU rRNA". It matches the Rfam family "Bacterial small subunit ribosomal RNA", at positions 1 to 526 of the family's 1533-position model. Lineage: Bacteria; Pseudomonadati; Thermodesulfobacteriota; Desulfuromonadia; Geobacterales; Geobacteraceae. The record is from RNAcentral.